AUUGAACGCUGGCGGCAUGCCUAACACAUGCAAGUCGAACGGUAACGCGGGGACAACCCUGGCGACGAGUGGCGGACGGGUGAGUAAUACGUAGGAAUCUGCCCAUUAGUGGGGGAUAACCCGGCGAAAGCCGGGCUAAUACCGCAUACGCUCUACGGAGGAAAGCGGGGGAUCGCAAGACCUCGCGUUAAUGGAUGAGCCUACGUCGGAUUAGCUAGUUGGUAGGGUAACGGCCUACCAAGGCGACGAUCCGUAGCUGGUCUGAGAGGACGAUCAGCCACAGUGGGACUGAGACACGGCCCAGACUCCUACGGGAGGCAGCAGUGGGGAAUAUUGGACAAUGGGGGCAACCCUGAUCCAGCAAUGCCGCGUGUGUGAAGAAGGCCUGCGGGUUGUAAAGCACUUUCAGAGGGGAAGAAAAAAUCGGAUCUAACACAUCUGAGCUUGACGUUACCCUUAGAAGAAGCACCGGCUAACUCCGUGCCAGCCGCCGCCGUAA
This 499-nucleotide ribosomal RNA is filed under the name uncultured bacterium. RNAcentral's name for it is "partial 16S ribosomal RNA". It matches the Rfam family "Bacterial small subunit ribosomal RNA", at positions 29 to 523 of the family's 1533-position model. The record is from RNAcentral.